GCUCUACCAAUCCAAAGACGCCCGACCUGCGCGCUGAGGUCACAUCCCCACGCAGCGCGACUGAAAGACUACGUGUUGCCUUCGUCAACAAUUAAUGUGUAUGGGUCCUGCAGGCAUCCUGUUCACUCAACCAUCAAAGCGCAUGGCACUUGCAGGCCCUCAGCCUACUCAACAAUUAAAGCGUAUGACUCCCGUUGUGUGAGGUCCAAUAGUCCCACAUCAGAAAGACUCGUUCCAGAGCCUGGGCAUAUGAGGCGGGUGACUCCAAAUCCUGCAGACGCGUUUUGGGAGGAAAACAAAAUCGGGGAGGGGUGAAGGACGCUUGCGUGAAGCCCCGGAACCGGACAAUAUCUGGCAGGGGAGCCCCGCGGUCCCUCCUCAUGUGGCCCCCACGUGGGCACUGGGUGCCUCACGUGCUCC
RNAcentral lists this long non-coding RNA (420 nucleotides) under Phoenix dactylifera (date palm). RNAcentral's name for it is "long non-coding RNA (PDAC_LNC011177)". Lineage: Eukaryota; Viridiplantae; Streptophyta; Magnoliopsida; Arecales; Arecaceae. The record is from RNAcentral.